UGGGGAAUUUUGGACAAUGGGGGAAACCCUGAUCCAGCCAUCCCGCGUGUGCGAUGAAGGCCUUCGGGUUGUAAAGCACUUUUGGCAGGAAAGAAACGUCAUGGGUUAAUACCCCGUGAAACUGACGGUACCUGCAGAAUAAGCACCGGCUAACUACGUUCCAGCAGCCGCGGUAAUACGUAGGGUGCAAGCGUUAAUCGGAAUUACUGGGCGUAAAGCGUGCGCAGGCGGUUCGGAAAGAAAGAUGUGAAAUCCCAGAGCUCAACUUUGGAACUGCAUUUUUAACUACCGGGCUAGAGUGUGUCAGAGGGAGGUGGAAUUCCGCGUGUAGCAGUGAAAUGCGUAGAUAUGCGGAGGAACACCGAUGGCGAAGGCAGCCGCCUGGGAUAACACUGACGCUCAUGCACGAAAGCGUGGGGAGCAAACAGG
This 429-nucleotide ribosomal RNA is filed under the name Acidobacteriota bacterium. RNAcentral describes it as "Acidobacteria bacterium partial 16S ribosomal RNA". It matches the Rfam family "Bacterial small subunit ribosomal RNA", at positions 355 to 776 of the family's 1533-position model. Lineage: Bacteria; Pseudomonadati; Acidobacteriota. The record is from RNAcentral.